GAGAGAUUAGUUAAAGAUAUAAUAUAGGUUUGUCAAGCCUAAGUUACUAAGUUAUUAGUAUCUCUUA
RNAcentral lists this transfer RNA (67 nucleotides) under Solemya elarraichensis. RNAcentral describes it as "tRNA-Asp". It matches the Rfam family "tRNA". Rfam says of the family: Transfer RNA (tRNA) molecules are approximately 80 nucleotides in length. Their secondary structure includes four short double-helical elements and three loops (D, anti-codon, and T loops). The record is from RNAcentral. Lineage: Eukaryota; Metazoa; Mollusca; Bivalvia; Solemyida; Solemyidae.